Molecule: ribosomal RNA, 429 nt
Filed under: Bacteroidota bacterium
Lineage: Bacteria; Pseudomonadati; Bacteroidota
Description: Bacteroidetes bacterium partial 16S ribosomal RNA
Rfam family: Bacterial small subunit ribosomal RNA
Source: RNAcentral
UAGGGAAUCUUCGGCAAUGGGGGGAACCCUGACCGAGCAACGCCGCGUGAGUGAAGAAGGUUUUCGGAUCGUAAAGCUCUGUUGUUAAGGAAGAACGAGUGUGAGAAUGGAAAGUUCAUGCUGUGACGGUACUUAACCAGAAAGGGACGGCUAACUACGUGCCAGCAGCCGCGGUAAUACGUAGGUCCCGAGCGUUGUCCGGAUUUAUUGGGCGUAAAGCGAGCGCAGGCGGUUAGAAAAGUCUGAAGUGAAAGGCAGUGGCUCAACCAUUGUAGGCUUUGGAAACUGUUUAACUUGAGUGCAGAAGGGGAGAGUGGAAUUCCAUGUGUAGCGGUGAAAUGCGUAGAUAUAUGGAGGAACACCGGUGGCGAAAGCGGCUCCCUGGUCUGUAACUGACGCUGAGGCUCGAAAGCGUGGGGAGCGAACAGG